AGUAAAACUACUAGCUUGAAAAUGUCAGUCAGUCCAUGACGUGUUUUGCAGUUAGAUCUGAAACCAUCCUCUCAUUUCCAGCCCUUUGAGUGGCAAUAUGAUUUCACACUUUUUUGCAUUAAAUCCUGGUCAAAGACAACACCUGCCUGUUCCUUGAAGGAAGUGAUGCAAGAGAGAGUUUAGCUGGCUGUGAAUCUCAAUUAGGACAAGGGGUCACGUUGAGUGUAACAGUACACACACAUUUAUUACACAAAACAUGCAUAUUUAUGCAUAUCCACCUUGUGAUGUCAUGUGGUAAUAAAGUGCUGCACUGAG
Boleophthalmus pectinirostris (great blue-spotted mudskipper) is the source of this 315-nucleotide long non-coding RNA. RefSeq lists it as uncharacterized. NCBI's taxonomy places the organism in Eukaryota, Metazoa, Chordata, Actinopteri, Gobiiformes, Gobiidae. The transcript is spliced from 2 exons. The record is from RefSeq and is a predicted model, not a curated record.